UAUGUUUUACAGAUCCUCAAAACAAGCUUAGACUUUGUUUGUUAUGCAAGAUCUCUUCAUGUGUCAUAAUGAUACAAACACGAGGUACAUAAUUUAGGCAUUUACAAUUAUAAUUAAGUGAUAAUUUGGCAGAACAACAUGGUGUGGUGUUUAUUCGAGAAGGAUGCACUAUUUUGUCAAGUGUGGUGUUUAUUCGAGAAGGCAACAAAGAGGUAUGGCAGGACUGCUUUGUUGCACAUGUUCGAAAGUUGUGUCUUACCUGCUUUAAAUAUAGUAGUUGAGACUUCUGGGGGCAUGCCGUUUCAUCUCGAGCUUUCUUAACUAAUAGAGAAAUGAAAUAACUUAUCAAAGCCUUUUUGUACGGUUUUUCUUUUCACUUCCAAAACAUUUUCGCAAAUUGGAACUUCAUAGCCAGUUUCCAAAUUCAAAGAAAUCACCUACCAUGGCCUUGUUCCUUUUCUUAAACUUCUCAUUCUGCAUCUUAAACAGCCAAACUCCCAGCCAUUUCAAUGUCAAGCUCGCUGAGCAACUUAAAAUCACAAUUCAUAGCAAAUAUAUGAACAACUAACUAUGCUUUAUAUUUUUGAUAGGUGUUCUAGAACUAGAAGCAUUUCCUUAGUUCAAACCUUGUAUCACGAAUUUACAUGCUACCCUCUUUUGAUGUACUUCAACAAGAAAAAAAGGGCAACCUGGUGCAUGUAGCUCCCGCUUGCGCAGGGUCCAGGGAAGGGUCCGACCACUUUGGGUCUAUAGUACGCAGCCUUUCCCUACAUUUCUGUAAGAGGCUGUUUCCAGGACUUGAACCCAUGACCUCAUGGUCACAAGGCAGCAGCUUUACCACUGCGCCAAGGCUCCCCUUCGAUGUACUUCAACAAGCUUAUCAACAAAUAUAUACCAGAUGCUACAUUGGCAUGUUAUUAUUUUGUUAGUGUAGUCACAUGAACUUCAUAUGAUUUAGCUGCAUUGUCAUAUAUUUAUUCACAAGAUCUGCUCGUCUAUAUCUGUCAAGACUGGAAACCUUGAGACGGUGAUCAAACAUUUGGUUGAAGGAAUCAGCAAACAGAUGUUUUCGAGGUACACCUAUGAUCUAUGUGUCAACUCUCAAAUGUCUAGUACUGCAAAACUGUUGUAUGGCCAUGAUGGUGCUUUAUUUAUUUUUCUGUCUUUUGUGUAUACAGACCAAUACUUCGUUCUUAUUUUCAGUUACUUGCAAUCUUGCAUGUUAUUGCUGGCAUGAGUUUUGUAUGUCCAUGACUGUUGUGAUACUGUUAAUAUGAUGCAGAUUUGUGUUCUUGUGUAUGCUGCAAUAUUUUUGAUAUUUUAGAGAAGUGCUAAAUUUGUGACCAUUAUUUUGAGCAUCAUGUUGUGAGCUCUGAUGUUCCUCUCAAGACUUGGAUCGGCAACCUGAUGCAAGUGCUCAAGGGAUAUCUGGAGCAUGUACUUCUCAAGGCGAUGUGAUGCAUGUGUAGUUAAUUACCAUGUUGAUUGGAAGUGUUUCGAUCUAGCAACAGUAGCUGAUAUGUGGCCUUGUCUAUAGCAGGUUGUAGAUUAAACUUGCAGUGUAUAGACCAUUUUGCAACUUAAGCUAGCUUUUUUGGAUCGAUGGGUGGUAUGAAUAUGUUGUAUGAUGAUGAAUAUUCGGUCAUCUAUGAAUUAUUUGAAUUAUGGCUGAUAUAUAUAUAUCCAAAUUUGGUGUAUUGUUGCUU
This 1706-nucleotide long non-coding RNA is filed under the name Triticum aestivum (bread wheat). RNAcentral's name for it is "long non-coding RNA (TAES_LNC005871)". Lineage: Eukaryota; Viridiplantae; Streptophyta; Magnoliopsida; Poales; Poaceae. The record is from RNAcentral.